GAGCUGGUCGCUGGCGAUUCGCGACUGCGCGGCCGUCGUGGCCGGUUGCGUUUUGGAUUGCGUCAGGCGGCGGCGCGGCGCCGCUCCGGCUGCCC
This 95-nucleotide transfer RNA is filed under the name Cryobacterium levicorallinum. RNAcentral's name for it is "tRNA-His". Lineage: Bacteria; Bacillati; Actinomycetota; Actinomycetes; Micrococcales; Microbacteriaceae. The record is from RNAcentral.